AGGCUAUUUAAGAAUUGUAUUUGGAAAUGGAAGAAUCCUCGGAUUAAAUUAGAUCAAUAAACUAAUACUAGGGCAAGGAGGAGUAAACUUCCCAAAUAUUAUAAGACAUUACGAAGCCACUAUUAUAUAACAUACCCAGUUAUUAGGCAAAAAAUAUUCUGACAAAACAGGUUCAUUUGGACUAGAGACUCAACCAUUGAAUAGGC
Molecule: non-coding RNA, 206 nt
Organism: Pelobates cultripes (western spadefoot toad)
Lineage: Eukaryota; Metazoa; Chordata; Amphibia; Anura; Pelobatidae
Source: the annotation of a GenBank genome assembly